This 452-nucleotide ribosomal RNA is filed under the name uncultured organism. Its description in RNAcentral is "partial 16S ribosomal RNA". It matches the Rfam family "Bacterial small subunit ribosomal RNA", at positions 332 to 800 of the family's 1533-position model. The record is from RNAcentral.
UACACUCCUACGGGAGGCAGCAGUGGGGAAUAUUGGACAAUGGGCGCAAGCCUGAUCCAGCCAUGCCGCGUGAGUGAUGAAGGCCCUAGGGUUGUAAAGCUCUUUCACCGGUGAAGAUAAUGACGGUAACCGGAGAAGAAGCCCCGGCUAACUUCGUGCCAGCAGCCGCGGUAAUACGAAGGGGGCUAGCGUUGUUCGGAUUUACUGGGCGUAAAGCGCACGUAGGCGGACUAUUAAGUCAGGGGUGAAAUCCCGGGGCUCAACCCCGGAACUGCCUUUGAUACUGGUAGUCUUGAGUUCGAGAGAGGUGAGUGGAAUUCCGAGUGUAGAGGUGAAAUUAGUAGAUAUUCGGAGGAACACCAGUGGCGAAGGCGGCUCACUGGCUCGAUACUGACGCUGAGGUGCGAAAGCGUGGGGAGCAAACAGGAUUAGAAACCCCUGUAGUCCCAUGA